CCUACGGGAGGCAGCAGUGAGGAAUAUUGGUCAAUGGACGAGAGUCUGAACCAGCCAAGUAGCGUGAAGGAUGACUGCCCUAUGGGUUGUAAACUUCUUUUAUAUGGGAAUAAAAUGUUCCACGUGUGGGAUUUUGUAUGUACCAUAUGAAUAAGGAUCGGCUAACUCCGUGCCAGCAGCCGCGGUAAUACGGAGGAUCCGAGCUUUAUCCGGAUUUAUUGGGUUUAAAGGGAGCGUAGGUGGAUUGUUAAGUCAGUUGUGAAAGGUUGCAGCUCAACCGUAAAAUUGCAGUUGAAACUGGCAGUCUUGAGUACAGUAGAGGUGGGCGGAAUUCGUGGUGUAGCGGUGAAAUGCUUAGAUAUCACGAAGAACUCCGAUUGCGAAGGCAGCUCACUGGACUGCAACUGACACUGAGGCUCGAAAGUGUGGGUAUCAAACAGGAUUAGAUACCCUAGUAGUC
This 460-nucleotide ribosomal RNA is filed under the name uncultured bacterium. RNAcentral describes it as "partial 16S ribosomal RNA". It matches the Rfam family "Bacterial small subunit ribosomal RNA", at positions 338 to 795 of the family's 1533-position model. The record is from RNAcentral.